AGAGGAGUGGCGGACGGGUGAGUAACACGUGGGUAACCUACCCAUCAGAGGGGGAUAACACUUGGAAACAGGUGCUAAUACCGCAUAACAGUUUAUGCCGCAUGGCAUAAGAGUGAAAGGCGCUUUCGGGUGUCGCUGAUGGAUGGACCCGCGGUGCAUUAGCUAGUUGGUGAGGUAACGGCUCACCAAGGCCACGAUGCAUAGCCGACCUGAGAGGGUGAUCGGCCACACUGGGACUGAGACACGGCCCAGACUCCUACGGGAGGCAGCAGUAGGGAAUCUUCGGCAAUGGACGAAAGUCUGACCGAGCAACGCCGCGUGAGUGAAGAAGGUUUUCGGAUCGUAAAACUCUGUUGUUAGAGAAGAACAAGGACGUUAGUAACUGAACGUCCCCUGACGGUAUCUAACCAGAAAGCCACGGCUAACUACGUGCCAGCAGCCGCGGUAAUA
Molecule: ribosomal RNA, 450 nt
Filed under: Enterococcus faecalis
Lineage: Bacteria; Bacillati; Bacillota; Bacilli; Lactobacillales; Enterococcaceae
Description: bacterial SSU rRNA
Rfam family: Bacterial small subunit ribosomal RNA
Source: RNAcentral